GUGCUUGCUUGGGUAGCACAUAUACUAAAAUUGGAACGAUACAGAGAUUAGCAUGGCCCCUGCACACGGAUGACAUGCAAAUUUGUGAAGCGUUCCAUAUUUUG
Molecule: small nuclear RNA, 104 nt
Filed under: Sciurus vulgaris (Eurasian red squirrel)
Lineage: Eukaryota; Metazoa; Chordata; Mammalia; Rodentia; Sciuridae
Source: RNAcentral